RNAcentral lists this ribosomal RNA (494 nucleotides) under uncultured bacterium. RNAcentral's name for it is "bacterial SSU rRNA". It matches the Rfam family "Bacterial small subunit ribosomal RNA", at positions 903 to 1397 of the family's 1533-position model. The record is from RNAcentral.
AAAGGAAUAGACGGGGGCCCGCACAAGCGGAGGAACAUGUGGUUUAAUUCGAUGAUACGCGAGGAACCUUACCCGGGCUCAAACGCAGAGGGAAUAUAUGGGAAACUGUAUAGCCAGCAAUGGUCGUCUGCGAGGUGCUGCAUGGUUGUCGUCAGCUCGUGCCGUGAGGUGUCGGCUUAAGUGCCAUAACGAGCGCAACCCUUAUUGUUAGUUGCCAGCGGGUGAUGCCGGGAACUCUAACAAAACUGCCAGCGUAAGCUGUGAGGAAGGUGGGGAUGACGUCAAAUCAGCACGGCCCUUACGUCCGGGGCGACACACGUGUUACAAUGGGGGGUACAGAAGGUCGCUACCACGCGAGUGGAUGCCAAUCUUUAAAGCCUUUCUCAGUUCGGAUCGAAGUCUGCAACUCGACUUCGUGAAGUUGGAUUCGCUAGUAAUCGCGCAUCAGCCAUGGCGCGGUGAAUACGUUCCCGGGCCUUGUACACACCGCCCGU